UAGGGAAUCUUCCGCAAUGGGCGAAAGCUUGACGGAGCAACGCCGCGUGAGUGAUGAAGGUCUUCGGAUCGUAAAACUCUGUUAUUAGGGAAGAACAAAUGUGUAAGUAACUAUGCACGUCUUGGCGGUACCUAAUCAGAAAGCCACGGCUAACUACGUGCCAGCAGCCGCGGUAAUACGUAGGUGGCAAGCGUUAUCCGGAAUUAUUGGGCGUAAAGCGCGCGUAGGCGGUUUUUUAAGUCUGAUGUGAAAGCCCACGGCUCAACCGUGGAGGGUCAUUGGAAACUGGAAAACUUGAGUGCAGAAGAGGAAAGUGGAAUUCCAUGUGUAGCGGUGAAAUGCGCAGAGAUAUGGAGGAACACCAGUGGCGAAGGCGACUUUCUGGUCUGUAACUGACGCUGAUGUGCGAAAGCGUGGGGAUCAAACAGG
This 429-nucleotide ribosomal RNA is filed under the name Actinomycetes bacterium. RNAcentral's name for it is "Actinobacteria bacterium partial 16S ribosomal RNA". It matches the Rfam family "Bacterial small subunit ribosomal RNA", at positions 355 to 776 of the family's 1533-position model. Lineage: Bacteria; Bacillati; Actinomycetota; Actinomycetes. The record is from RNAcentral.